This 502-nucleotide ribosomal RNA is filed under the name uncultured bacterium. RNAcentral's name for it is "bacterial SSU rRNA". It matches the Rfam family "Bacterial small subunit ribosomal RNA", at positions 28 to 512 of the family's 1533-position model. The record is from RNAcentral.
GAUGAACGCUGGCGGCGUGCCUAAUACAUGCAAGUCGAGCGAACAGAUAAGGAGCUUGCUCCUUUGACGUUAGCGGCGGACGGGUGAGUAACACGUGGAUAACCUACCUAUAAGACUGGGAUAACUUCGGGAAACCGGAGCUAAUACCGGAUAAGAUUUUGAACCGCAUGGUUCAAUAGUGAAAGACGGCCUUGCUGUCACUUAUAGAUGGAUCCGCGCCGUAUUAGCUAGUUGGUAAGGUAACGGCUUACCAAGGCAACGAUACGUAGCCGACCUGAGAGGGUGAUCGGCCACACUGGAACUGAGACACGGUCCAGACUCCUACGGGAGGCAGCAGUAGGGAAUCUUCCGCAAUGGGCGAAAGCCUGACGGAGCAACGCCGCGUGAGUGAUGAAGGUCUUCGGAUCGUAAAACUCUGUUAUCAGGGAAGAACAAACGUGUAAGUAACUGUGCACGUCUUGACGGUACCUGACCAGAAAGCCACGGCUAACUACGUGCCAGC